GACCCGAUGGCCCGGUGGCCGGCGCGGUUUGCAAGUCCGCGUGGGCGAGCUCGACUCUCGCUCGGGUCUCCA
This 72-nucleotide transfer RNA is filed under the name Myxococcales bacterium. Its description in RNAcentral is "tRNA-Cys". The record is from RNAcentral. Lineage: Bacteria; Pseudomonadati; Myxococcota; Myxococcia; Myxococcales. RNAcentral also lists the same sequence under 1 other name.